This 864-nucleotide ribosomal RNA is filed under the name uncultured archaeon. RNAcentral describes it as "bacterial SSU rRNA". It matches the Rfam family "Archaeal small subunit ribosomal RNA", at positions 39 to 909 of the family's 1478-position model. The record is from RNAcentral.
UGAUACUAAGCCAUGCGAGUCAUUGUAGCAAUACAAGGCAUACGGCUCAGUAACGCGUAGUCAACCUAACCUAUGGACGGGAAUAACCUCGGGAAACUGAGAAUAAUGCCCGAUAGAACAUUAUGCCUGGAAUGGUUUAUGUUCCAAAUGAUUUAUCGCCGUAGGAUGGGACUGCGGCCUAUCAGUUUGUUGGUGAGGUAAUGGCCCACCAAGACUAUUACAGGUACGGGCUCUGAGAGGAGUAGCCCGGAGAUGGGUACUGAGACACGGACCCAGGCCCUAUGGGGCGCAGCAGGCGAGAAAACUUUGCAAUGUGCGAAAGCACGACAAGGUUAAUCCGAGUGGUUUCUGCUAAAGGAACCUUUUGUCAGUCCUAGAAACACUGAUGAAUAAGGGGUGGGCAAGCUCUGGUGUCAGCCGCCGCGGUAAAACCAGCACCUCAAGUGGUCAGGAUGAUUAUUGGGCCUAAAGCAUCCGUAGCCGGCUCUGUAAGUUUUCGGUUAAAUCUGUACGCUCAACGUACAGGCUGCCGGGAAUACUGCAAAGCUAGGGAGUGGGAGAGGUAGACGGUACUCGGUAGGAAGGGGUAAAAUCCUUUGAUCUAUUGAUGACCACCUGUGGCGAAGGCGGUCUACCAGAACACGUCCGACGGUGAGGGAUGAAAGCUGGGGGAGCAAACCGGAUUAGAUACCCGGGUAGUCCCAGCUGUAAACCAUGCAAACUCAGUGAUGCAUUGGCUUGUGGCCAAUGCAGUGCUGCAGGGAAGCCGUUAAGUUUGCCGCCUGGGAAGUACGUACGCAAGUAUGAAACUUAAAGGAAUUGGCGGGGGAGCACCACAAGGGGUGAAGCCUGCGGUUCAAUUGG